UGAGCAAUCUGCCCUUCUCAUCGGAAUAAGCGUUGGAAACGACGUCUAAUGCCGAAUACGACCUCCUUUCGCAUGAUCGGAGGUGGAAAGCUCCGGCGGAGAAGGAUGAGCUCGCUGCCUAUCAGCUAGUUGGUGUGGGUAAUGGCCCACCAAGGCGACGACGGGUAGCCGGCCUGAGAGGGUGACCGGCCACACUGGGACUGAGACACGGCCCAGCUCCGUAGG
This 225-nucleotide ribosomal RNA is filed under the name uncultured bacterium. Its description in RNAcentral is "partial 16S ribosomal RNA". It matches the Rfam family "Bacterial small subunit ribosomal RNA", at positions 118 to 343 of the family's 1533-position model. The record is from RNAcentral.